GCCAGGAAUGGUGACGCACACCUGUAAUCCCAGCAACUUGGGAGGCUGAGGCAGGAAGUUCGCAAGUUCAAAGCCAGCCUCAG
RNAcentral lists this small RNA (83 nucleotides) under Marmota monax (woodchuck). The record is from RNAcentral. Lineage: Eukaryota; Metazoa; Chordata; Mammalia; Rodentia; Sciuridae.